UACGAGCGGUCCAAACGUUAUUCGGAAUCACUGGGCUUACAGAGUUCGUAGGCGGUCCAGAAAGUGGGGUGUGAAAGCCCUCGGCUCAACCGAGGAACUGCGCUCCAAACUACUGGGCUAGAGGAAGAUAGAGGUGAGCAGAACUGAUGGUGGAGCGGUGAAAUGCGUUGAUAUCAUCAGGAAUACCGGAGGCGAAGGCGGCUCACUGGGUCUUUUCUGACGCUGAGGAACGAAAGCUAGGGGAGCAAACGGG
RNAcentral lists this ribosomal RNA (253 nucleotides) under uncultured bacterium. RNAcentral describes it as "partial 16S ribosomal RNA". It matches the Rfam family "Bacterial small subunit ribosomal RNA", at positions 524 to 776 of the family's 1533-position model. The record is from RNAcentral.